UGCAAGUCGAGCGCGGGAAGCCGGCGGACUCCUUCGGGAGGAAACCGGUGGAACGAGCGGCGGACGGGUGAGUAACACGUGGGCAACCUGCCGGACUGAUGGGAAUAACCCCGGGAAACCGGGGCUAAUGCCCAAUACGCCCUGACCUCGCCUGAGGUCAGCGGUAAAGCAGGGAUCUUCGGAUCCUUGCACAGUCCGAUGGGCCCGCGGCGCAUUAGCUAGUUGGAGAGGUAAGGGCUCCCCAAGGCGACGAUGCGUAGCCGACCUGAGAGGGUGAUCGGCCACACUGGGACUGAGACACGGCCCAGACUCCUACGGGAGGCAGCAGUAGGGAAUCAUCCGCAAUGGGCGAAAGCCUGACGGUGCAACGCCGCGUGAGUGAUGAAGGUUUUCGGAUCGUAAAGCUCUGUUGACAGGGAAGAACCCACGUCAGUCGAACAGGCUGGCGUGCUGACGGUACCUGUCCAGAAAGCCCCGGCUAACUACGUGCCAGCAGCCGCGGUAAUACGUAGGGGGCAAGCGUUGUCCGGAAUUAUUGGGCGUAAAGGGCACGCAGGCGGUUUCGUCAGUCCGAUGUGACAGGCCACGGCUCAACCGUGGAAGGCCAUUGGAAACUGCGAAACUUGAGGACAGAAGAGGAGAGUGGAAUUCCACGUGUAGCGGUGAAAUGCGUAGAUAUGUGGAGGAACACCAGUGGCGAAGGCGACUCUCUGGUCUGUACCUGACGCUGAGGUGCGAAAGCAUGGGGAGCAAACAGGAUUAGAUACCCUGGUAGUCCAUGCCGUAAACGCUGAGUGCUAGGUGUUAGGGGUUUCGAUACCCGUAGUGCCGAAGCUAACGCAUUAAGCACUCCGCCUGGGGAGUACGACCGCAAGGUUGAAACUCAAAGGAAUUGACGGGGGCCCGCACAAGCGGUGGAGCAUGUGGUUUAAUUCGACGCAACGCGAAGAACCUUACCAGAUCUUGACAUCUUCCGCUACGCCUCGAGAGAGGCGGUUCCCCUUCGGGGGACGGAAUGACAGGUGGUGCAUGGUUGUCGUCAGCUCGUGUCGUGAGA
This 1057-nucleotide ribosomal RNA is filed under the name Nesterenkonia halobia. RNAcentral's name for it is "bacterial SSU rRNA". It matches the Rfam family "Bacterial small subunit ribosomal RNA", at positions 56 to 1072 of the family's 1533-position model. The record is from RNAcentral. Lineage: Bacteria; Bacillati; Actinomycetota; Actinomycetes; Micrococcales; Micrococcaceae.